UACGGAGGAUGCGAGCGUUAUCCGGAUUUAUUGGGUUUAAAGGGUGCGUAGGCGGGAUGCCAAGUCAGCGGUAAAAAUGCGGUGCUCAACGCCGUCGAGCCGUUGAAACUGGCGUUCUUGAGUGGGCGAGAAGUAUGCGGAAUGCGUGGUGUAGCGGUGAAAUGCAUAGAUAUCACGCAGAACUCCGAUUGCGAAGGCAGCAUACCCGCGCCCUACUGACGCUGAGGCACGAAAGCGUGGGUAUCGAACAGG
Molecule: ribosomal RNA, 252 nt
Filed under: uncultured bacterium
Lineage: Bacteria
Description: partial 16S ribosomal RNA
Rfam family: Bacterial small subunit ribosomal RNA
Source: RNAcentral